RNAcentral lists this ribosomal RNA (494 nucleotides) under uncultured bacterium. Its description in RNAcentral is "partial 16S ribosomal RNA". It matches the Rfam family "Bacterial small subunit ribosomal RNA", at positions 28 to 507 of the family's 1533-position model. The record is from RNAcentral.
AACGAACGCUGGCGGCGUGCUUAACACAUGCAAGUCGAACGGUGAAUUGCCUUCCUGUGUGGCGGGGGUGGGUGAGUGGCGAACAGGUGAGUAACACGUCGGUAUCCUGCCCCCUUCGUCGUGCUAACAGCAUGAAAUGUUUUCGAAUCCGAGAUUUUUCGGGUUUGUCUCGUGCUGGGUCGGGUAAGCUAGUUGGUUCGGUAAGAGAUUAGCUGGGCGCCUAUCAGUUGGUUGGUGGGGUGGUUGCUUAGCAAGGCGGUGACUGGUAGCCGGCCUAGGAGGGUGGACGGUCACACUGGGACUGAGAGACGGCCCAGACUCGUACGGGAGGCAGCAGUGGGGAAUAUUGCACGGUGGGCGGAGGAAUGAUGCAGCGACGCCGCGAGAGGGAUGGAGGCCUUCGGGUUGUGAACAUCUUUCGCCAGUGAAGCAGGCCUGCCUCGUUUGUGGGUGGGUUGGCGGUAGCUGGAUAAGAAGCGCCGGCUAACUACGUG